AGUGGUGUGCAAAUAGCAAUCGAAAAUAUAAAUGUCAAUAAUCCACAUAAGCCCAAACGAGUUACACGGCGCCGUUUAAUCUGAACGAAAAGCUUCAGAAGCAGCGUGAUUCCUCGAAGCUCAGUAGUUGAAUUGAAUCUCUUUGCUCUGAACCCUACAUUGCUACCAGAAAUGAAGAAAGGAGUACACCCACAGAAGCAAUGGAUAUCAUAUGUUACUCAAUCGGGUCGGUUGUUGCAUGUCAUGAUGACAAAGAUUCACCCUGUUGGUAAAGUCUAUCACUUUCGUGCUAAGCGUCAAAUGGCUGAGAGUUUGGGACAGAUUGCCAAGUUCAAACGUCGUUUCGGGUUAGAAAAUCCAGAGGCUAGUGCCAGUGCCAGUACAAGUGCAAAUGCUGUUGAGAAAAAAUGAUUUUUCCUACCUCAAAUGGAAGUUUGUUUUUUAAUUUCAUGCAAGUUUUUGGAAAUAUUCAACAAAAAUGGUCAUGCUCUGAAGUGGUUUCUGUUCAUUUCUUGUAUUUGGUAUGUCUAGUUAAACUGCAGAUAUGUUUUUUGUUUUGAUUCAUACUAACUGAUAUGCUUAGCAGUUUAAUUUUUGUUAGUAUUCAUAGUACUGUUUGAAGUUGGGAUUCUUGUUAACACUUUCUGAAAUUAUGGAUAAAUAAUAUUUGAUGUUAUGAACCGGGAUACACUGGUAUUUUUGUUGAAGGAGCAAUUUAAUGCUUUCAAUUCAAUGAUCACUUACGGUGUGAUUAUUUA
Medicago truncatula (barrel medic) is the source of this 758-nucleotide long non-coding RNA. RefSeq lists it as uncharacterized. The record is from RefSeq and is a predicted model, not a curated record. NCBI's taxonomy places the organism in Eukaryota, Viridiplantae, Streptophyta, Magnoliopsida, Fabales, Fabaceae. The transcript is spliced from 2 exons.